RNAcentral lists this ribosomal RNA (468 nucleotides) under uncultured bacterium. Its description in RNAcentral is "partial 16S ribosomal RNA". It matches the Rfam family "Bacterial small subunit ribosomal RNA", at positions 28 to 523 of the family's 1533-position model. The record is from RNAcentral.
GAUGAACGCUGGCGGCGUGCCUAACACAUGCAAGUCGAGCGAUCUUCUUCGGAAGAGAGCGGCGGACGGGUGAGUAACGCGUGGGUAACCUGCCCUGUACACACGGAUAACAUACCGAAAGGUAUGCUAAUACGAGAUAAUAUGCUUUUAUCGCAUGGUAGGAGUAUCAAAGCUCCGGCGGUACAGGAUGGACCCGCGUCUGAUUAGCUAGUUGGUAAGGUAAUGGCUUACCAAGGCAACGAUCAGUAGCCGACCUGAGAGGGUGAUCGGCCACAUUGGAACUGAUACACGGUCCAAACUCCUACGGGAGGCAGCAGUGGGGAAUAUUGCACAAUGGGCGAAAGCCUGAUGCAGCAACGCCGCGUGAGCGAUGAAGGCCUUCGGGUCGUAAAGCUCUGUCCUCAAGGAAGAUAAUGACGGUACUUGAGGAGGAAGCCCCGGCUAACUACGUGCCAGCCGCCGCUGUAA